Molecule: long non-coding RNA, 326 nt
Organism: Schistocerca gregaria
Lineage: Eukaryota; Metazoa; Arthropoda; Insecta; Orthoptera; Acrididae
Exons: 4
Source: RefSeq, a predicted model, not a curated record
UUACGCUCCCAUUGAGUACAUUUUUGGAGAAAGGUACAUCUGUUGCACCACAGGCCAAUUAGGUUGCUGCGGAGCACAAUACAUUUUCUUUCUUAGCAGGGCAAUUUUAGUGUGUAGUUGCAACAUUACGCCCCCAUUGAGUACAUUUGUGGAGGAAGGGACAUCUGUUGCACAACAGGCCAGUGAGUAGCUGCGGAGCACAAUACAUUUUCUUUCUUAGCAAGCAUGAGGCUGAUGCGGAGCACAAUACGUUUUCUUUCUUUGCAGAUCAAUUUGAGUUUGUGGUUGCAACGUUACGCUCCCAUUGAGUACAUUUUUGGAAAAAG